CAAUAGCGUAUAUUAAAGUUGUUGCAGUUAAAAAGCUCGUAGUUGGAUUUGUGGCGUACGGUGUGUUCCGGGCACUUGUUGUCUGAGUAACCUGCUGUUGCCAUCCUUGGGUGGAACCUGUGUGGCAUUAGGUUGUCGUGCAGGGGAUGCCCAUCAUUUACUGUGAAAAAAUUAGAGUGUUCAAAGCAGGCUUAUGCCGUUGAAUAUAUUAGCAUGGAAUAAUGAGAUAGGACUUUUUUGCUAUUUUGUUGGUUUGCGCAAAGAGGUAAUGAUUAAUAGGGACAGUUGGGGGUAUUCGUAUUCCAUUGUCAGAAGUGAAAUUCUUGGAUUUUUGGAAGACGAACUACUGCGAAAGCAUUUACCAAGGAUGUUUUCAUUAA
RNAcentral lists this ribosomal RNA (380 nucleotides) under uncultured eukaryote. RNAcentral describes it as "partial 18S ribosomal RNA". It matches the Rfam family "Eukaryotic small subunit ribosomal RNA", at positions 592 to 976 of the family's 1831-position model. The record is from RNAcentral.